CUGACGGAGCAACGCCGCGUGAGGGAUGAAGGCCUCUGGGCUGUAAACCUCUUUUAUCAAGGAAGAAGAUCUGACGGUACUUGAUGAAUAAGCCACGGCUAAUUCCGUGCCAGCAGCCGCGGUAAUACGGGAGUGGCAAGCGUUAUCCGGAAUUAUUGGGCGUAAAGCGUCCGCAGGCGGCCCUUCAAGUCUGCUGUUAAAAAGUGGAGCUUAACUCCAUCAUGGCAGUGGAAACUGUUGGGCUUGAGUGUGGUAGGGGCAGAGGGAAUUCCCGGUGUAGCGGUGAAAUGCGUAGAUAUCGGGAAGAACACCAGUGGCGAAGGCGCUCUGCUGGGCCAUCACUGACGCUCAUGGACGAAAGCCAGGGGAGCGAAAGGGAUUAGAUACCCCUGUAGUCCUGGCCGUAAACGAUGAACACUAGGUGUCGGGGGAAUCGACCCCCUCGGUGUCGUAGCCAACGCGUUAAGUGUUCCGCCUGGGGAGUACGCACGCAAGUG
RNAcentral lists this ribosomal RNA (497 nucleotides) under uncultured cyanobacterium. RNAcentral's name for it is "bacterial SSU rRNA". It matches the Rfam family "Bacterial small subunit ribosomal RNA", at positions 383 to 894 of the family's 1533-position model. Lineage: Bacteria; Bacillati; Cyanobacteriota. The record is from RNAcentral.